AUGAUAGAGGACUGUUCUGCACAGUCAAUAGCACCACUGGAAAAGAAAAUGCAGGUUCAUGCUCUGCAACAUGAGACAGUUACUCUCUCCUGCAGGUAUGAUGGUAACGUGUACAAUCUGCAGUGGUAUCGUCAGUAUCCUGGAUCCAGACCAGAGCAUUUACUGAUGAUAUUUCCAGAGUCAAAAGAUGUGAUCCAUGCAGAUCCUCCUUUCCCACGACUGAAUGCUACAGCAGAUAAAAGUACAGUGGAUCUGUUGAUCUCCUCUGCUACAGUAUCAGACUCUGCUCUCUACUACUGCGCCCUGCAGCCCACAGUGACAGGAAACCCAGUUACUCUGUACAAAAACACAGGAUGA
Non-coding RNA from Pygocentrus nattereri (red-bellied piranha), 357 nucleotides. NCBI's taxonomy places the organism in Eukaryota, Metazoa, Chordata, Actinopteri, Characiformes, Serrasalmidae. The record is from the annotation of a RefSeq genome assembly.